Molecule: non-coding RNA, 80 nt
Filed under: chicken gut metagenome
Description: Cyclic di-GMP-I riboswitch
Rfam family: c-di-GMP-I riboswitch aptamer
About the family: GEMM was predicted in a large-scale screen for bacterial structured RNA regulatory elements.
Source: RNAcentral
GAAACGGCAAACCACGGGAAACCAUGGGACGCAAAGCUAUGGGGGCUAAGGCGAGAACGCGAGGCCAGCCCGGCUGCCAA